UACGUAGGGGGCAAGCGUUGUCCGGAUUUAUUGGGCGUAAAGCGCUCGCAGGUGGUUCAUUGCGUCGUGCGUGAAAGACCCCGGCUCAACUGGGGAGGGUCGUGCGAAACGGGUGAACUAGAGGCCAGUAGGGGGAUGUGGAAUUCCGGGUGUAGUGGUGGAAUGCGUAGAGAUCCGGAGGAACACCAGCGGCGAAGGCGGCAUCCUGGACUGGUCCUGACACUCAGGAGCGAAAGCGUGGGGAGCGAGCCGG
RNAcentral lists this ribosomal RNA (253 nucleotides) under uncultured bacterium. RNAcentral describes it as "partial 16S ribosomal RNA". It matches the Rfam family "Bacterial small subunit ribosomal RNA", at positions 524 to 776 of the family's 1533-position model. The record is from RNAcentral.